RNAcentral lists this ribosomal RNA (253 nucleotides) under uncultured bacterium. RNAcentral's name for it is "partial 16S ribosomal RNA". It matches the Rfam family "Bacterial small subunit ribosomal RNA", at positions 524 to 776 of the family's 1533-position model. The record is from RNAcentral.
UACGUAGGGUGCGAGCGUUAAUCGGAAUUACUGGGCGUAAAGCGUGCGCAGGCGGUUCGUUGUGUCGGCGGUGAAAGCCCCGGGCUUAACCUGGGAAUGGCCGUUGAAACUGGCGAACUGGAGUGUGGCAGAGGGGGGUGGAAUUCCGCGUGUAGCAGUGAAAUGCGUAGAGAUGCGGAGGAACGCCGAUGGCGAAGGCAGCCCCCUGGGCUAACACUGACGCUCAGGCACGAAAGCGUGGGGAGCAAACAGG